RNAcentral lists this unclassified non-coding RNA (215 nucleotides) under soil metagenome. RNAcentral's name for it is "partial contains 5.8S ribosomal RNA, internal transcribed spacer 2, and large subunit ribosomal RNA". The record is from RNAcentral.
AACCUAGCACACCUGCGGUGUGUACCUGCGGAAGGAUCAUUACAUGAUUUAACAGGGAGUGGAGGCUUCGGCCAAAGCUCUGUCUGAACCCAUGUCUUUUGCGUACUUCUUGUUUCCUCGGUGGGCUUGCCCGCCGAUAGGACAACCUUAAACUCUUUGCAAUUGCAAUCAGCGUCUGAAAAACUAUAAUAGUUACAACUUUCAGCAACGGAUCU